ACACAUGCAAGUCGAACGAGAACGAUCUCUUCGGAGAGCUAGUAAAGUGGCGCAAGGGUGAGUAACACGUGAAUAAUCUGCCCUCGAGACUGGGAUAACUUGGCGAAAGCUAGGCUAAUACCGGAUAAGACCACGUUUCGUAAGAAAUGUGGAAAAAGGAGUCUCAACCUUCACUCGAGGAUGAGUUCGCGGACCAUUAGCUUGUUGGUGAGAUAAAAGCUCACCAAGGCUACGAUGGAUAGCCGGCCUGAGAGGGCGAUCGGCCACACUGGAACUGAGACACGGUCCAGACUCCUACGGGAGGCAGCAGUGGGGAAUAUUGCGCAAUGGGCGAAAGCCUGACGCAGCAACACCGUGUGAGCGAUGAAGGCUUUAGAGUCGUAAAGCUCUGUCAAAUGGGAAGAAUUCUGACGGUACCAUUAAAGGAAGCCCCGGCUAACUCCGUGCCAGCAGCCGCGGUAAUACCGGAGGGGGCAAGCGUUGUUCGGAAUUAUUGGGCGUAAAGCGUAUGUAGGCGGCCAAGUAAGUCAAAGCGUGUAAGCCCGUGGCUCAACCACGGAAUUGCGUUUGAAACU
Molecule: ribosomal RNA, 575 nt
Filed under: uncultured delta proteobacterium NAC60-5
Lineage: Bacteria; Deltaproteobacteria
Description: bacterial SSU rRNA
Rfam family: Bacterial small subunit ribosomal RNA
Source: RNAcentral